CGGGUGAGUAACGCGUGGAUAACCUGCCUCACACGUGGGGAUAACAGUUAGAAAUGACUGCUAAUACCGCAUAAGCGCACAGUACCGCAUGGUACAGUGUGAAAAACUCCGGUGGUGUGAGAUGGAUCCGCGUCUGAUUAGCCAGUUGGCGGGGUAACGGCCCACCAAAGCGACGAUCAGUAGCCGACCUGAGAGGGUGACCGGCCACAUUGGGACUGAGACACGGCCCAA
RNAcentral lists this ribosomal RNA (231 nucleotides) under uncultured bacterium. RNAcentral's name for it is "partial 16S ribosomal RNA". It matches the Rfam family "Bacterial small subunit ribosomal RNA", at positions 103 to 334 of the family's 1533-position model. The record is from RNAcentral.